CACGUUCUGCAUGGCCGGGAGGAUGGUCCCCAUGUCGCCGGGGCCGAGCUCGUUGCCGACGGCGAUGUACCGGAUGAUGACGUUCGGCCAGUAGGCCUGGACGUUGUCACGCACCCAGUCGGCGGCGGCGGAGGGGUUGUUGGCGAGGUUGGCCACCGCGCUGCUGCCGCCGACGUCGAUGAUGACGGCGACGCCGCUGCCGCGAAGCGCGUCGAGGGCCUGCUGGUCCGGGCUGUAGAUGCGCAUAGCACCGAUACCAUUGGACUUGUACAGCUGCACGACCUCGCUCUGCGACGGGAGGUUGUCGCCGUUCAUGCCGUAGCAAACACCGUGGACACCUGCAAAAACAUAGGAGUGCAUGUUUAUGCCAAAUCAGACGAUUUAAUUGAUGUGUAGGAAAAUAAAAUAUAUAUAUAGAGAGAGAGAUAUCGAAUCUGGAUUUUUCACAUUUUGAUACUUUUGAAAAACUUAUUUCACAAAUAGACCCCUAAAAAAACUUAUCCUAGAAAUGGUCUUUUUUGGGGCGCCAGAGUGGCUGGCGCCGUCAUCCAACGGGAUGGCGCCAGCCUCUCUGGCGCUGUCCUCCUGCCACCGUGGCGUACGCGAACCGACGUGGCUCCAUUCCUGUUUCUCUGUAUGGAGUUGCAACGGUGUUAUUUUUAUUUUAUUUUUUCGGAUGUUUUUUCACACUCAGGAUCACGAUACAACCAACCACAAAAAAAAUUUAAACUCGAACUACCACUUAGCUAAGUCUGAAAAUAUCUAGCAUACCACUUAGUCUACUUUACACCUUCACUAAAAUUAGACCAUAACUCAUUUAGUAAAACCCUUUGAUCAGCAUGUUAAACAUAAUGCACUCUACCACUAUAUGAAAUUACUUAAUCUAAUUCAAAAUAUAACCACAUGAAAUGACAUAUAUAAGUUAAACAGUAUAUAGAGAUGCAAUUUUUUUAUUUUUAUUUUAUUUUUUUGAUAUUUUUUCACACUUAUGAGAACAUAGGAACCAACCGUAUAAAAAAUAAACUCAAACGGACAAAAUAUGUGACAUGUAGAAUUUUCCAAAAUUCUACCGAAACGGACAAAAUAUGCCAUCUAUUAAAAUAGGCGUAACUUUCUCAUACGGACUCGGAAUCAGGCAAAUAAUAUAUGCACGGACAUCUACAGAAAAAGUUACAUCCGAUUCUCCCCCGCUUUGCCGGGUUCGGCGAUAUUAAAACCUCCAAAUUCCGCUUGCAAGAUUGUGUUUUCGAGGAGAGAAGUUUUUCGGUGGAGCUUUGGAAAAUUCCACAUGCCACAUAUUUCGUCCGUUUGAGUUUAUUUUUUACGUGGUUGGUUCUUGUGAGUUCCUAAGUGUGAAAAAAAUAUCAAAAAAAUAAAAUAAAAAUAAAAAAGUUGCACAUCUCUCUCCUCUGCACUAGUUCGGAGAGAGGAGAGGAGAGGAAAAAUUCUACAUGUCACAUAUUACGUCCAUUUGAGUUCAAUUUUUUUAUGGUUGGUUCUUGUGUGUCCCUAAGCGUGAAAAAAAUAUCAAACAAAUAAAACAAAAAUAAAAAAUUUCCGGGGGGGGGGGGGGGGGCGCCAGCCACUCUGGCGCACUCCCCCUAGCCACCUCAGCAUCGCCCCGCCACGUCGGCGGUGGGACGGCGCCAAAGAGGCUGGCGCCAUCCUGUUGAACGAUGGCGCCAGCCACUCUGGCGCCCCAAAAAGGACUAUUUUUAGGAUAAGUUUUUCUAGAGAUCUACUUGCGAAAUAAGUUUUUCAAAAGGACCAAAAUGUGAAAAAUCCAGGAGAUCGAAUUGCAUAUGAGAGGCAGAGAGGGUUAGUUAAUUAAUUGAUUAGCAAUAGAUCAGCUCAGCAUGAAAGAGAAAAGGAAGGGAAAAAUAAGUUCUGAAUAUACCUCCCAUUUGAUCAAAUAGCUAUGAUAACUCGAGCUCUGAUCUGCUUGAUCAGUAUCUGGAGAUGGAAUUAUGAAUGGCGCCUCGAUGCUCGCGCUCGCUAGCUCGUGAUCGUAGCUAGGAAAGAAUGUCCCCCCUUAUAUACUGCAAGAUGGCGUGACUUCUUCCUCUUGUCAAUGAGACACUUCAAUCGGUUAACCAGUAAUCACGAGAUCCGGCCGACGGCGGAGAUCACGAGGUUUGCCUCGCGUUGGGAUUCGACUUCGGUUAUACUUUUGCUUUGGAAUUGUGUUCCUUUGCUUUAUUCCUCCUCUAGCAUCUGCCCAUACAUUCCGUGUGAUGAACACUGCGAAUCAAAUGGGACGUUUAAGAUGUUGUUGUUGUACUGAUAGCGUGAUUGAAUUCAUGGCCUCUUUCUGCCAAGCCGCAUAUGGAGUUUUUUUUGGUGUUUCAGUUUCAAGUCGCGGUUGGUGAAUCCGAAAUCACGUGAUUAAAACAGUAAUUAUCGAGCACGGAAGGAAUGGAAUUUUUUUAAAAAAAAUGCAGAACGGAGUAAUUUCUUACAGAUCAUCCUGUUUCUGCUUGAUGCGAUAGCUAAUCGCUGUCGGUGCUCUAUUACUGCUCCAGCUCAAGCUCGAACAGCAUUCCAGCUUGUCGGCCAAAUUGGACAUAUCUUUCGGCCCAAUUGGUUUAAUCCCCAUCUCUUUUAGCCGGGCCGCAAGUUAUCCCCUCCUCGUCACGCUAUCUAUAGGCCCAUUAUUAUCUAUCUGUGUUAUGUUUUAGAACAAGCUGGAAAUGCUGGUUGAGCUCGAGCAGUAGUAGAUAGGGAUGAAAACAGUCCGGAAAGUUUCCGAAUUCCGGACGUGUUUUUGGAAACGGGAAGUGUCGGUCAGAAUUUUUUCGAAACAUUUGGAAACGGAAACGAAUUCCGAAUUCUGAAUUUUUUUCUCGGAAACAGAAACAAACAUGAUAAGGCUGCUAUUCGUUGGAAACCGUAAUCCGACGGAAAUUUUCAAGAAAUGAAUUCAAAUUUUUUUUUCUUAGAAUCGAAAAGGGAGUAUUUCUCAUAUACAACUGAUUAGUUUCAUUCUUCUCUACUCUUUAAUGUUUAGGUUUAUACUAGUAUUGAUGUGCUUAAUUAAAUAGAAAUAUUUUUAGUUCCAGUAAUUUAGAUUUGUUUGCAUGAUUACUUUUUAAAUUUUUAUUAGACCAUGUCAUACUACUUAUAAUUAUAGUUAUAGAUGAAUAUAGUUCUUUUUCUCCAAGAAAGUAAAGGGUACAACUAGUUAUUAUUAUUAUUAUUGGUAAAAAAAAAUAAAUAUCGGUUUGUUAUUUUAGAAAAAAAUAUUGAGCUACAUCUCUUUCUUAAUUUGAAAAGUUCAAUUUAAGGGCUUUUUAUAUUCCGAUAAGUAUCCGUUACCGUAUUCGUUCCAAAUCGUAUUCGUUCCGUUUUCGUAUUUGAUAAAUAUCCUUUGCCGUAUUCCCGUUUUCAUCCUAGUAGUAGUAGAGCACCGACACCGAUUAGGAAAACGUGGAAUUGAUCUGAGUGAAAUUACUCCGUUCUGCAAUUUUUCUUCUAAAAGAUUCCAUUUCCUCCGCGUGCGAAAUAACUACGACCGAAUCAUUUUUGUAUUAAUCGAGUUGAUAUCUGUUUCUGCGAGGCCGCUGCCCGCUGGAAUCUGGAGAUUGAAGCAGAGAAAGUGAGAGGAAACCAAACCGCGACUUGAAACACCUAACAGACUCCAUAUGCGGCUUGUCAGAAAGAGACAAUGAAUUCAUCAGGCUACCAGUACAACAACAUCUCAAAUGUCCCAUUUGAUUCGCAGUGUUCCAUCACACGGAAUGUAUAGUAUGAGCAGAUGCUGGAGGAGGAAGAAAGCAAAGGAACACAAUUCCAAAGCAAAAGUAUAACCGGAGUCGAAUACAAAAGCGAGGCAAACCUCGUGAUCUCACGUGCGUCCGAAUCGAACUCUGGUCGCCUCCACCGUCGUCCGGAUCACGCAGCCUGGCCGGCCAUCCGCGGCGGCGGGCUUGCGCCGCCGUGCUGCUUUGGCUGGAAGAUCUUGGUGGCAGAGGGCAGAGGACCCAGAAGUCGUCCUCCUCGCCGUCGUCGGUGUGCGGCGGUAGCACCGGGGAUCGGUGAUCUCGUACUCGGCCAUCAUCCACCCGGUAACGAAGGGAAUUAGUAGCAGCAAGCGGGAGUAGCUUGAGUGGCCAUAAUUAAUCCGAGCUGGUGGAGCAGUAUUCUGCGUUCAUGAUCUGCAUUUGUGUCCUCUCUUCAGGAACUGAAAAGCUGGAAAUGUUUGUGUCUAUCUGUUUAUAGGUGCCAUCUGUUUGGCACAAGAUGGUACCGAUAUAUAGUCACAGCAGGCUGCUGUCAUCAACCGAUAAAAAGAUCCUGAAUUUUUUUAAAAAAAUAAAAUAAAAUUGGAAUUUUUUAUUCAUGUAGCAUUGUCACAAAAAAAAAGGGCCAUACAGAGUACAUGCAUUAACGUUCAACCAACAUUAUUUAAUCAUGGAUUAUUCGUCUCUGGAAAUCCUUAUUUGCACUGGCAUGGUCAGCCGCUAGUUCGGAGGAAACGUAAUCGGGUAGACCGGCGUCUUGUCAGGGUAGAAGAGCCCAAAAUGCCUCUCGGUCUCAUCCCCGGGCUUCUGGUUCUCGUUGAACAUGGCGAACACGUACGUCUCCAGCUGCCCGGGCCGCUUCGGCGUCCCGUUCUUGACGUUGUCGAUCACGCCCUGGUUGUGAUUCCUCGCGUUCUCCACGUUCGCCGCGAACCCUCCCGCCGACGGCCACCCGCUCUCCGACACGACGACGCGGACGCCGGGCUCGCCGGCCUUCUCCAGCGCGGCGUACACGGCGUCCACCAUGGCGCUGAAGAGGUUGGUGUAGGUGAGGCCGCUGUCGUUGUCCCUCACCGUGGUGCCCGGCUGGAACGUGGCGUAGUUGAGCGGGAUGUCGCGCGGGUUGUCCCUGUAGGCAAAGUAGGGGUACACGUUGGCGAGCAGCGGCGACAUGGUGUUGGCGAGGAACUGCGCGAUGGGCACCAUGAACUGCUGCAGGUCCGGGCGGAACACGCCGUGCGACGGAGGGAACGAGUCGGUGAUCGCGUCCAUCCUCACCGCCGUCGACACCUUGAUGCUGUUCGAGAGGCCGGCGGACACGAGCGCGUCGUACACGUUCUGCAUGGCCGGGAGGAUGGUCCCCAUGUCGCCGGGGCCGAGCUCGUUGCCGACGGCGAUGUACCGGAUGAUGACGUUCGGCCAGUAGGCCUGGACGUUGUCACGCACCCAGUCGGCGGCGGCGGAGGGGUUGUUGGCGAGGUUGGCCACCGCGCCGAUGCCGCCGACGUCGAUGAUGACGGCGAUGCCGCUGCCGCGGAGCGCGUCGAGGGCCUUCUGAUCCGGGCUGUAGAUGCGCAUAGCACCGAUGCCAUUGGACUUGUACAGCUGCACGACCUCGCUC
Molecule: long non-coding RNA, 5361 nt
Filed under: Oryza sativa (Asian cultivated rice)
Lineage: Eukaryota; Viridiplantae; Streptophyta; Magnoliopsida; Poales; Poaceae
Description: long non-coding RNA (OSAT_LNC001771)
Source: RNAcentral